GAUGAACGCUGGCGGCGUGCCUAAUACAUGCAAGUCGAGCGAACGGACGAGAAUCUUGCUUCUCUGAUGUUAGCGGCGGACGGGUGAGUAACACGUGGAUAACCUACCUAUAAGACUGGGAUAACUUCGGGAAACCGGAGCUAAUACCGGAUAAUAUUUUGAACCGCAUGGUUCAAAAGUGAAAGACGGUCUUGCUGUCACUUAUAGAUGGAUCCGCGCUGCAUUAGCUAGUUGGUAAGGUAACGGCUUACCAAGGCAACGAUGCAUAGCCGACCUGAGAGGGUGAUCAGCCACACUGGAACUGAGACACGGUCCAGACUCCUACGGGAGGCAGCAGUAGGGAAUCUUCCGCAAUGGGCGAAAGCCUGACGGAGCAACGCCGCGUGAGUGAUGAAGGUCUUCGGAUCGUAAAACUCUGUUAUUAGGGAAGAACAGAUGUGUAAGUAACUGUGCACAUCUUGACGGUACCUAAUCAGAAAGCCACGGCUAACUACGUG
This 497-nucleotide ribosomal RNA is filed under the name uncultured bacterium. Its description in RNAcentral is "partial 16S ribosomal RNA". It matches the Rfam family "Bacterial small subunit ribosomal RNA", at positions 28 to 507 of the family's 1533-position model. The record is from RNAcentral.